AUGACCAGUCAACUCCUUGUAUUCAUCACACUAUUCUAUCACCUCAUAAUAACUUUGAGUGUAAGCGAUGCGGCGUCUUCAAACUGCUGUAGUGUGGUCACUGUGGUUGUCUGCAGCUAUUCAUAUACAAUAAAAUUAGGUCCCAGAGCUCUGUUUCUAACUCCCCUCAUACGGGACGGUAGAAUCGACUAGGCUCGGGAAGCAUGCAACGUGACGUUUUUGGACGUGGCUGUCGAGAGCUAUUCCGGUUACCUGACUGUGGACGAGGAGCACGGUUCUAACAUGUUCUUCUGGUUCUUCCCGGCCGCGAAAGAUAAGGCAAAUGCACCUGUUGUGCUGUGGUUACAAGGCGGCCCAGGAGCGUCCAGCCUGCAUGGCGUAUUCAACAUCAAUGGUCCAUUCUCGGCGUACAAGUGCGACGGCAGCAUGCUCAAGUUGCGUGACCAUGCGUGGACGAACACGCAUUCGAUGCUCUAUGUGGACAAUCCGGUAGGCACAGGCUUUAGUUAUACCGAGGACGAUUCUGGUUACAGUACCGACCAGACAGCCGUCGCCCAGAACAUGUACUCCGCCUUGGUACAAUUCUUCAAGCUGUUCCCCGAGUACCAGCUCAACGAUUUCUACGUGACCGGGGAGUCGUUCGCCGGUCACUACGUACCGGCCGUGUCGUACGCCAUCCACCAGAACAACCCCAAAGCAGAGGUCAAUAUCAACCUCAAAGGGUUGGCCAUAGGAAACGGCUUAGUUGAUCCUCUCAACCAGCUGUUUUACAGCGAAUACUUGCACAAAUACGGAUUGAUUGACGAAAACGGAAAGCGGAUAUUCGAACAAUAUGAGAGAACGAUUCGAGCUCAAAUCCUAGCUGGUGACUACAUGGAAGCUUUCCGGAGGUACGACGAGAUGUUGAACGGCAGAUUAUAUCAGAACCCGACGCUGUUUAAUAACCUGACCGGAAUGCAAUACUACUACAACGUGCUAUUGGACCGGCAACCUCCGUCGUUCAACGAUUGGAUGGAUUUCGUGGAAACACUGUCCGUAAGGUACGCGUUGCACGUGGGCCCACGGCGGCUUUACAGAAAUACGACGGUGGUCCAAAAGCACUUGCUUAGCAACGUGAUGCAAUCAGUGGCUCCGUGGUUGGCCAAUCUGUUAGAUUCCGACCAGUACCGGGUUCUGUUAUACAGCGGGCAGUUUGACAUCAAAUUUAAUCACCUGGGCAACAUGCGUAUGGCCCAGGCGCUCGAGUGGAAAGGUGCGGAACGAUUUAGGAAUAAUGCGACGCGUACCAUUUGGCGCGUUCCCCAACGGAAAACCGGAUGUGACGACGGAAACGAAACUGACGUGGCCGGUUACGCGACGACAUCAGGUCCGCUGACCGUGCUGUUGGUGAGGAAUGCUGGUCACAUAGUGCCAGCCGACCAGCCGGUUUGGGCUCUGGAUCUCAUCAACAGAUUCACGGCCGGCAAAACGUUUUGACCUACAGCAACCACGAUUUAUCGAUGAUAAUAUAUUUGAUUAAUAUUAUUAUA
Molecule: RNA transcript, 1529 nt
Organism: Aphis gossypii (cotton aphid)
Lineage: Eukaryota; Metazoa; Arthropoda; Insecta; Hemiptera; Aphididae
Gene name: venom serine carboxypeptidase-like
Exons: 3
Source: RefSeq, a predicted model, not a curated record